UGGUCAAUUAUGAGAACUCAUAUGGUCUCGAAGAGCGAUGAUGACCUAAAAAUCAUGUUCAAUAGGAUGCGCUAAGGCCA
RNAcentral lists this small nucleolar RNA (80 nucleotides) under Neogale vison (American mink). RNAcentral describes it as "Neovison vison (American mink) Small nucleolar RNA SNORD115 (ENSNVIG00000016705.1)". It matches the Rfam family "Small nucleolar RNA SNORD115". Rfam says of the family: HBII-52 is a member of the C/D class of snoRNAs, which contain the C (UGAUGA) and D (CUGA) box motifs. HBII-52 is encoded in a tandemly repeated array with another C/D snoRNA, HBII-85, in the Prader-Willi syndrome (PWS) region of chromosome 15. HBII-52 is exclusively expressed in the brain but is absent in PWS patients. The record is from Rfam by way of RNAcentral. Lineage: Eukaryota; Metazoa; Chordata; Mammalia; Carnivora; Mustelidae.